CUGGAUUCCAUUCCGUCUUCCUUGAGGGCCCCACCCUCAUCCCGGCACGUGAUGACGUAGGACGUAAGGACGCCCCCCCCCGCCGGUAGCCAUCUUCGUGCAUAGGCAAACUUAUUGUAGCUAGACUGUACAAAGUAUAUCAAGAUAUGCCAAAUAUUGAGCUUAACUUCACCUGUUUGAGAGACGUGUUGUGAACCACUUGUCAUGGGAUAACCAAAAUUAAACCUGGAAUCGCAGAAGAAACAAAUUUUUUGAAGAAAUUGGAUGUACUUUUUUAAAAUUUUUCAUUCAACUAAAACUUUGUUAACUGUUUCUUGGUUGUGGUCUUCUCUAAAUUGUAAUCUUUGGCAUUCACUUCCAAAGUAUCCACCACUAAACUUCAUAACAUUUAUUGUGUCUCUUCAUCAUUAAACUUUGAUGAAUUUACAGAGUGUCUUUUGAAAUUAUGUUCUUGAGAAAGCCAGGGGAUUGGACGGUGUCAUGGAAAUGUCAAAGAAAAAGUGACACCUGAGAGAAAAUUUGAAAGAUGAAAGGUGCACAUCAUGGAGACAAUCUGACUGGUACAGAGAAAUGAAGAGACAACAUUUUCUUUCCAAAUCUGAGUGGAGAUGAAGAUUCCUGAAACAACAAUCAAAAGGAACUUUGGACUCUGACUGAGGACACAUCCAGCAAUGGCAAAGCACUCUAGCCACUGCCCAGACCCAUGGAAACUUCAGGAAGAGGCAGUUUAGUGCUUCUGGUAGUUGUCUAAUCAAGAUUAGGACUCUUAUUUAUCAUCUUCCUCUGGCAUUUUUGCACCAGUCUUCAGGUUUUAGCAUAGUAAAUAUGUUCCAGUCUGUGAAAUCUCUCUGUUUUAUUCCAAAUAAAUAAAAAAGCAUAAUAGUAGAAAUUAAA
This 894-nucleotide long non-coding RNA is filed under the name Homo sapiens (human). RNAcentral describes it as "HSALNT0339410". The record is from RNAcentral. Lineage: Eukaryota; Metazoa; Chordata; Mammalia; Primates; Hominidae.